GGAUUCUGGGAAAGCCAGAGAUGGCUCCUAGGGUGGGACUAGGAGAUGGACUUUUAAUCCAGGUCAUUGGCUGUGAGCAGGAGGGUCACGUGCUCCUUGAGGUGCCCGGUGGUGGGUGGGGUGAAUACUGGGCUGCUUAGGGCUGGGGAGUGGGUACCACCAGGGGGUGGGCCCUGUGAGGGAAGACCUGCCCGUAGCACCACUGUCAGGGCCUCUCCUACCAGACUGCUGAGUCUUUUCCCAAGGCCAAGACCAUUGGUAAAAGCCCUUGCAUCCCUCUGCCUACCUCCUUCCACUGAGUCCUGGACACGGCACAGGUGCUGAUGACAGGUUUGACGCCCCUGAGAGCAGGGGCGGCCUGACCACCAGUUGAGUUCCUGGUGGCAUGACACCGUGAGCAGUUACAGGGGGCUUGGGAGUGGCCCCAGCAAACCAGAGAGACCCACACAUGCUCGGCUGUUCUCCCCCUAAACAGAUGAGGAAACUGAGGCCCAGAGGGCUAAGGUGCUGACCUGCCGAGGUCACGCAGUGAGCCAGCCCUCAGUGUGUCCUGACAGCCCGUGGCUCAGCAGACCAGCCCAGCCUCCUUCUCUGGCCAAGGUUACUGUGCCUGGAGAUGGAUGCUUUGUACACCGAGGCUCUGCCAGCCCAAUUAACCUCCAAUAACUGUCAGCUCUUGCUGCUGGUGACGUGGCGGUUUUCUUAUUAAGCCCUGUUGGGUAAGUUGGGGACUCCAUGGAGGCAGAGUGUGUCUGUCUGCAGUAGAGCAUGCCACUGGCACAUAGUGGGUGUGCAGUAAAUACGUGCAGGAAGGUAAGGAGCGUGGGCGAGUGCGUGGCUGGUUGGACAGCGUGCCCCCCGCCGCCCCAGGGGCAAGCUGUGGGCUUGGUCCAUCCUUUCCCUGUGACACGGAUGUGGCCUGCCUGCCCAGUGCAGGAUGGCACAGAGCCGGGAGCGGGCGCCACGGCAUUGAGGGGCAGGAGCCCGUUCCCCGGAGAUGCGGAGCAGCUGGCACGAAGGGCUGAGACUAACAAGGCGUGAUUGAAUGGGAGUGGACGGAAACCCAGCACCUCAGGCGAAACCCAAACAGAUCCUUCCCAGAGCUGCCUGGCAGGAUGUGUGAAGGGGCCCCCCCCCCGGGGGGGGGGGGGUGGGGGGGUGGGGAGGGGGUUGACAUCGAGGACAAGGUGAGGACACAGUGCCGUGCAUCUCACAGAAGCGUGACGCCAAAACAAGGGAGGCAGAGGGCCCCUGGUGCCGUCACUGCUCAGACCACGUUAGCACUGAGGCUCAGCGCCAGGUGUCACGUUUUAGGAGGGACCUUGACAGCAAGCAUGACCCCGGGGCAGCUGGACCCAAGGGUGUGGGACCUAACACCGUGGAGUGGGAAGAGCAGUGGAGGACGUGAGGCUGUUUAGCCUGCAUCAGCGGAUUGCAGAGGCACGAGAGAACCGAUGAACAAUUAUCAGACGGGCCUUCGAGGAGGGCAAUUGGCUCCAUCGGCUCCAGACAAGCUAUGUCCAGCCAGUGGCAGGUUGGGACCAAUGGAUGAAAGAGGCCCAGGGACUAGGUUUGGCUUUGGUGUUUGUUUGUUUGUCUUUUUAGGGCCACACCCUUGGCACAUGGAGGUUCCCAGGCCAGCAGCUGCAGCUCCUAUUCCAUCCCUAGCCUGGGAACGUCCACGUGACGCAGGUGUGGCCCUAGAAAACAAAACAAAACAAAACAAAACAAAGGUAAAGCCUACUUUGACUUUAUGAUGGGAGUGGGGGGGCUGAUAAGGAACUGAAUGAUGUCCUGUAUUGCUGAGGGCUCUGAAGAGACCAAAGCCAGGGUAGAGUGACCAGUGAGUCAUCUCAGAUUGGGCGUUAUAGGCAAGGUGGGGUUGCGGGGAGCAGCUGAGAAAAGACCUGAAUGAAGUGAGGCAGUGGGUUGUGCAGAUAUUAGGGGAAGAGCAUUCCAAGCAGAGAGAACAGCAUGUGCAAAGGCCCUGAGGUGGGAGAGCGCCUGGGGUUACUCGAGGAGCGUGGCUGACCUGGGCUGCGUACUUCCCGAUGGAUGGAGACAUGGAAGUCUCUCGGUUUAGGCACAGCCCGCACUCGUACGCUUUCCCGAUAGCGAGGGAGGAGUCUACCCAAGGGGCAGGAAGCCCACAAGAUGGCCUGGGCAUGUCCAGUCCCUGCACUGGACCCGGCCAUUUGUUGGAAGCUGGGGAAGGAGGGGGCCUCAGUUUUCUCAUCUAUAAAAUGAAGCCAACAGCACCAGCCAUGCUGGGCUGACAUAGGAGUCAAGACAUAUAAAAUGGCAGGCACACGUGAGCCCUUGGGCCAAGGGUAGCUGUGGCUGUUUUAUGGGCGGGGAGACGGAAACCCCGGGAGGCUCAUUAAUGUGUCCUGUGUCGCACAGCUCGGCACUCAGUCCCGGGACCCUUUGCCUCCAACAUCCAUGCUUGUUUCUCUCUGCACCUGACAUCCAGAUGGUUUACUCACCAAGCAGUGGUUCAGGGGCGAAGAUGUUACCUAUCCCAUUUUACAGAUGAGGAACGGAGACCCAGAGCCACCCCCUCGAGGAGCCCUGGUGAGGUGGAGGCAGCCACCAGACCCAGUAUUGAGUUCCCAGGGGGUGGCAAGCUUUGUCUCCUGAGGGUGGCGUGGUGGCCCAUCACUGGGACCCCGAGCCUGUGCUGUGCUUCCAGUAGAGAGAAGCGAGGUGGCCGCUCACCCUCGAAUUCUGGCUGGGCCCCAGGAGUCCUCCGUCCUCCUAAUUAAUCCCGGCUAAUGGCACUGACAGGGACAGUGACAAUGGCACCUCAGGGAGCCUUGGCCAGCCCGGCCCAGGGAGGAGCCCAUGCCAGGGCUGAUCAGCUGCUGCAAAUGCUAUUUCCCUGGCUAAGCCUCACGUCCAGCUCCUGGGAGGUCGGAACACCUCCCCUGUCAGGCUUCCUGGACCCCAUCAAUGAGUGUCUCACGGGAGUGUGGCCUCAUGAGCAGGAGCGGUGCCUUCUCUGGGCCCCCUGCGCUGUACGGAGUGUGUUUGCCUGGGGUGUUAGGAGGCACACACCUCGCCACCCAGGUGGAGAAACAGGUUUGGCGCGGGCCUGCAACUUGCCCAGGGACUCAGAGCUGGCCAGCCCCGCGUCUUCCCUGCCGGACCCCCACUCCUCCUCCCUCCCCCUCUGCUCUUAGCCCGGGGACACAGGCAGACCUCACCCUGCCCAGCGUCCAGCCCAGGCAGGGGGAGCAGCCCCCUGAUCCUCACAGCCCCCCAGCCUGGGGCCAGGAGGCCAAGAUUCCCCUCUGACUGGGGAGCUUGAUGGUCAGUCUGCUGUGGAGGUCAGGGGGCAGAUGUGGCCCAGGGGUACAGGGAGCCUGAGUCCAGGGGAACCCUAAUCUUAUGAGGAAAUCAGGACCACACCCUCAUUUAUAACGGUAGCUGACAUUUUCUGAGGCCU
RNAcentral lists this long non-coding RNA (3448 nucleotides) under Sus scrofa (pig). Its description in RNAcentral is "lncRNA (ENSSSCG00055030233.1)". Lineage: Eukaryota; Metazoa; Chordata; Mammalia; Artiodactyla; Suidae. The record is from RNAcentral.